AGUGAACGCUGGCGGUAGGCCUAACACAUGCGAGUCGAACGGCAGCACAGUAAGAGCUUGCUCUUACGGGUGGCGAGUGGCGGACGGGUGAGGAAUACAUCGGAAUCUACUUUUUCGUGGGGGAUAACGUAGGGAAACUUACGCUAAUACCGCAUACGACCUACGGGUGAAAGCAGGGGAUCUUCGGACCUUGCGCGAUUGAAUGAGCCGAUGUCGGAUUAGCUAGUUGGCGGGGUAAAGGCCCACCAAGGCGACGAUCCGUAGCUGGUCUGAGAGGAUGAUAAGCCCCACUGGAACUGAGACACGGUCCAGACCCCUACGGGAGGCAGCAUGGGGGAAUUUUGGAAAAGGGGCGCAAGCCUGAUCCAGCCAUACCGCGUGGGUGAAGAAGGCCUUCGGGUUUUAAAGCCCUUUUGUUGGGAAAAAAAAGCAGCAGGUUAAAACCCCGCUGUUCUGACGGUACCAAAAGAAUAAGCACCGGCUAACUUCGU
RNAcentral lists this ribosomal RNA (491 nucleotides) under uncultured bacterium. RNAcentral describes it as "partial 16S ribosomal RNA". It matches the Rfam family "Bacterial small subunit ribosomal RNA", at positions 29 to 506 of the family's 1533-position model. The record is from RNAcentral.